Molecule: ribosomal RNA, 403 nt
Filed under: uncultured bacterium
Lineage: Bacteria
Description: partial 16S ribosomal RNA
Rfam family: Bacterial small subunit ribosomal RNA
Source: RNAcentral
UGGGGAAUUUUGGACAAUGGGCGCAAGCCUGAUCCAGCCAUGCCGCGUGCGGGAAGAAGGCCUUCGGGUUGUAAACCGCUUUUGUCAGGGAAGAAAUCUUCUGAGUUAAUACCUCGGGAGGAUGACGGUACCUGAAGAAUAAGCACCGGCUAACUACGUGCCAGCAGCCGCGGUAAUACGUAGGGUGCAAGCGUUAAUCGGAAUUACUGGGCGUAAAGCGUGCGAGGCGGUUUUGUAAGACAGAGGUGAAAUCCCCGGGCUCAACCUGGGAACUGCCUUUGUGACUGCAAGGCUUGAGUGCGGCAGAGGGGGGAUGGAAUUCCGCGUGUAGCAGUGAAAUGCGUAGAUAUGCGGAGGAACACCGAUGGCGAAGGCAAUCCCCUGGGCCUGCACUGACGCUCAU